GGCGGACGGGUGAGUAACGCGUGGGUAACCUGCCCUGUACACACGGAUAACAUACCGAAAGGUAUACUAAUACGAGAUAAAAUGUAAUGAUCGCAUGGUCGAUACAUCAAAGCUCCGGCGGUACAGGAUGGACCCGCGUCUGAUUAGCUAGUUGGUGAGGUAACGGCUCACCAAGGCGACGAUCAGUAGCCGGCCUGAGAGGGUGAACGGCCACAUUGGGACUGAGACACGGCCCAAACUCCUACGGGAGGCAGCAGUGGGGAAUAUUGCACAAUGGGGGAAACCCUGAUGCAGCGACGCCGCGUGAGUGAAGAAGUAUUUCGGUAUGUAAAGCUCUAUCAGCAGGGAAGAAAAUGACGGUACCUGACUAAGAAGCCCCGGCUAACUACGUGCCAGCAGCCGCGGUAAUACGUAGGGGGCAAGCGUUAUCCGGAUUUACUGGGUGUAAAGGGAGCGUAGACGGUUUUGCAAGUCUGAUGUGAAAGCCCGGGGCUCAACUCCGGAAUUGCAUUGGAAACUGUAGAACUAGAGUGCAGGAGAGGUAAGCGGAAUUCCUAGUGUAGCGGUGAAAUGCGUAGAUAUUAGGAGGAACACCAGUGGCGAAGGCGGCUUACUGGAC
RNAcentral lists this ribosomal RNA (619 nucleotides) under uncultured low G+C Gram-positive bacterium. RNAcentral describes it as "bacterial SSU rRNA". It matches the Rfam family "Bacterial small subunit ribosomal RNA", at positions 97 to 734 of the family's 1533-position model. The record is from RNAcentral. Lineage: Bacteria; Bacillati; Bacillota.